Molecule: non-coding RNA, 183 nt
Organism: Vicia faba (fava bean)
Lineage: Eukaryota; Viridiplantae; Streptophyta; Magnoliopsida; Fabales; Fabaceae
Source: the annotation of a GenBank genome assembly
AUGACCAUAGCAAGUCAAGUAAUGUUGUGUUGCUCCAUCCUCAUGAAACUUCUAACACGAAUCCUUCAGAUGACUCCUGGCUUUCUGAAUUCAGAACAUCAUCAGAGGAAAAUUGUCCAGAGUCAAGCCGAAGUAGUUUAUCAUACGUUUCCGUUAUGGUGGAGGAUUACAAUGGCAAUGUAG